This is a long non-coding RNA of Helianthus annuus (common sunflower), 1057 nucleotides long. RefSeq lists it as uncharacterized. The transcript is spliced from 2 exons. The record is from RefSeq and is a predicted model, not a curated record. Lineage: Eukaryota; Viridiplantae; Streptophyta; Magnoliopsida; Asterales; Asteraceae.
CCACCCAUCCCUACCCUCUCUCCCCUCUUCCUCUCUCACCACACCUCCCUCUCUUCUCUCCCUGUCUCCACCUCCGCCGGAACCACCGUUUUCUCCGGCGACCUCCUCCGUUCCAUCUCUGCCGCCGGUCCUCAGUUAUCAUCUCUCUCAAUCAUUCACUCCAGACCACUUCUCUCUCUUCAACUUCUAACCUCUUUCACCAAUCUCAAAACCCUAACCCUAACUCUCGCCGGAAAUGCCUCGCCGGACUCUGUUUCUGAUCUGUUCGUCAUUUCCUCUUCGUCGUACUCUUUAAUUUCAAGCUCUUUAACUUCUCAGUUGACCACCCUUACAAGCGAUUCAAUACCGAUCUCACACCAAGAAAGGCGACUUUAAAAUCCAUUGUCAAGGAAGAACUUGCAAAAAUGGCUGUUGAAGAAAUUGAAGCUGAGGAAACCAGAAAAGAAGCAUCAGAGUAGUCUUGUUGAAAAUUACCUACACAACAGAGGGCAUAAUUGGUAUUUUCUAUUAAUCUUUUAGUUCUUGCCAUCAUGUAGUGUUGGGUCUCUUUUAAUCAUUGUAAUCUAUUGUUAGAUAAACAAGUUUAUGUUCAGUUCACAAAAGACCUUGUUAAGAGAUAAAUUUUAGGUAUAUUUUUGCUUUUUGUGGAUGGUUUUACUUCUCUGGCGUCAGUAAACGAUGGAGGUCACGAUUGAAGACUGGAAACCACCAGAGUCGUUGUAGCCGUCUACAAACGAUGGCUUCGUCAUCUUUGUUUUCUGCCUUGGCGGUGUGUAGGUGGUGGCAGUUAAGUGGUGGUGGUGUUGUUGUUACACGGUGGAGAUGUAGAUAAAAGAAAGAUGAUGACUGAUUGUGUAUGGUGAGUUUAGAUCUUUAAAGUUUACUGAUGUUCUUGUGGAGGUGUAAGAUUUGUGGAGGUGAAUGAUGAGUCACAGGGAGAAAGAGAGAAAGAGGAUGGAGAUACACUUUAUGUUUAUUGUUUAUGUUUUGUGUGUAUACAUAUUAAAUUACUAAUAUACCCUCACAUGAGCUGCACAUGUUAUAUUUAACUUGAAAA